RNAcentral lists this transfer RNA (67 nucleotides) under Aneurinibacillus migulanus. RNAcentral's name for it is "partial Leu tRNA". Lineage: Bacteria; Bacillati; Bacillota; Bacilli; Caryophanales; Paenibacillaceae. The record is from RNAcentral.
GUGGCGGAAUCGGCAGACGCGCUAGAUUCAGGUUCUAGUGGUAGCAAUACCGUGGGGGUUCAAGUCC